Molecule: ribosomal RNA, 754 nt
Filed under: uncultured archaeon
Lineage: Archaea
Description: bacterial SSU rRNA
Rfam family: Archaeal small subunit ribosomal RNA
Source: RNAcentral
AGUCAACAUGCCCAGGGGACGUGGAUAACCUCGGGAAACUGAGGAUAAACCGCGAUAGGUCAUAAUGUCUGGAAUGAUUUAUGGCUGAAAUCUAUAUGGCCUCUGGAUUGGACUGCGGCCGAUCAGGCUGUCGGUGAGGUAAUGGCCCACCAAACCUAAAACCGGUACGGGCUCUGAGAGGAGAAGCCCGGAGAUGGGCACUGAGACAAGGGCCCAGGCCCUAUGGGGCGCAGCAGGCGCGAAAACUCUGCAAUAGGCGAAAGCUUGACAGGGUUAUUCUGAGUGAUUUCCGCUAAGGAGAUCUUUUGGCACCUCUAAAAAUGGUGCAGAAUAAGGGGUGGGCAAGCCUGGUGUCAGCCGCCGCGGUAAUACCAGCACCCCGAGUGGUCGGGACGAUUAUUGGGCCUAAAGCAUCCGUAGCCGGUUCUACAAGUCUUCCGUUAAAUCCACCUGCUUAACAGUUGGGCUGCAGAGGAUACUAUAGAGCUAGGAGGCGGGAGAGGCAAGCGGUACUUAGUGGGUAGGGGUAAAAUCCGUUGAUCCACUGAAGACCACCAGUGGCGAAGGCGGCUUGCCAGAACGCGCUCGACGGUGAGGGAUGAAAGCUGGGGGAGCAAACCGGAUUAGAUACCCGGGUAGUCCCAGCUGUAAACGAUGCAGACUCGGUGAUGAAUAAGCUUCGUGCUUAUUCAGUGCCGCAGGGAAGCCGUUAAGUCUGCCGCCUGGGGAGUACGGUCGCAAGACUGAAACUUAA